Molecule: ribosomal RNA, 484 nt
Filed under: uncultured bacterium
Lineage: Bacteria
Description: partial 16S ribosomal RNA
Rfam family: Bacterial small subunit ribosomal RNA
Source: RNAcentral
AUUGAACGCUGGCGGCAUGCUUUACACAUGCAAGUCGAACGGCAGCGCGGGCUUCGGCCUGGCGGCUAGUGGCGCACGGGUGAGUAAUGCAUCUGAACGUGCCCCGUAUUGGGGGAUAGUCCGUCGAAAGCCGGAUUACUACCGCCUACUACCUGCGGGUGCAAGCGGGGGACCGAAAGGCCUUGCGCUCUUUGGGCGACCGAGGCGGGAUUUGCUAGCUUGUGGGGUAAAGGCUUACCAAGGCGACGAUCCGUAGCUGGACUGAGAGGACGACCGGCCACACUAGGGCGGGGACACGGCCCAGACUCCUACGGGAGGCAGCAGUGGGGAAUGUUGGACAAUGGGGGCAACCAUGAUCCAGCCAGGCCGCGUGCGAGAAGAAGGCCUUCGGGUUGGAAAGCGGGUUUGUGCGGGAAGAAAUGCUCUGGGCUAAUACCACGGGGGGAUGACGGUACCGGAAGAAUAAGCACCGGCUAACUACGUG